This 74-nucleotide transfer RNA is filed under the name Gryllotalpicola protaetiae. It matches the Rfam family "tRNA". From Rfam's summary of the family: Transfer RNA (tRNA) molecules are approximately 80 nucleotides in length. Their secondary structure includes four short double-helical elements and three loops (D, anti-codon, and T loops). Lineage: Bacteria; Bacillati; Actinomycetota; Actinomycetes; Micrococcales; Microbacteriaceae. The record is from Rfam by way of RNAcentral.
CGCGGCGUAUCCAAGUGGUCGAAGGGAACGGUUUCAUACCCCGUUUGUCGCAGGUUCGAAUCCUGCCGUCGCGU